This 495-nucleotide ribosomal RNA is filed under the name uncultured bacterium. RNAcentral's name for it is "partial 16S ribosomal RNA". It matches the Rfam family "Bacterial small subunit ribosomal RNA", at positions 28 to 507 of the family's 1533-position model. The record is from RNAcentral.
GACGAACGCUGGCGGCGUGCCUAAUACAUGCAAGUAGAACGCUGAAGGAGGAGCUUGCUCUUCUGGAUGAGUUGCGAACGGGUGAGUAACGCGUAGGUAACCUGCCUGGUAGCGGGGGAUAACUAGUGGAAACGAUAGCUAAUACCGCAUAAGAGUAGAUGUUGCAUGACAUUUACUUAAAAGGUGCAAUUGCAUCACUACCAGAUGGACCUGCGUUGUAUUAGCUAGUUGGUGGGGUAACGGCUUACCAAGGCGACGAUACAUAGCCGACCUGAGAGGGGGAUCGGCCACACUGGGACUGAGACACGGCCCAGACUCCUACGGGAGGCAGCAGUAGGGAAUCUUCGGCAAUGGACGGAAGUCUGACCGAGCAACGCCGCGUGAGUGAAGAAGGUUUUCGGAUCGUAAAGCUCUGUUGUAAGAGAAGAACGAGUGUGAGAGUGGAAAGUUCACACUGUGACGGUAUCUUACCAGAAAGGGACGGCUAACUACGUG